This 371-nucleotide ribosomal RNA is filed under the name uncultured organism. RNAcentral describes it as "bacterial SSU rRNA". It matches the Rfam family "Bacterial small subunit ribosomal RNA", at positions 526 to 896 of the family's 1533-position model. The record is from RNAcentral.
CGGGGGGAGCAAGCGUUGUUCGGAUUUACUGGGCGUAAGGCGCGUAGCGGUCAGCACAAGUCAGUUGUGAAAUCUCCGGGCUUAACUCGGAAAGGUCAACUGAUACUGUGCGACUAGAGUGCAGAAGGGGCAACUGGAAUUCUCGGUGUAGCGGUGAAAUGCGUAGAUAUCGAGAGGAACACCUGCGGCGAAGGCGGGUUGCUGGGCUGACACUGACGCUGAUGCGCGAAAGCCAGGGGAGCGAACGGGAUUAGAUACCCCGGUAGUCCUGGCCUUAAACGAUGGAUGCUUGGUGUCUGGAGUUUUAUAGUCUCCGGGUGCCGUAGCUAACGCGUUAAGCAUCCCGCCUGGGGAGUACGGUCGCAAGACUG